Molecule: ribosomal RNA, 455 nt
Filed under: uncultured bacterium
Lineage: Bacteria
Description: bacterial SSU rRNA
Rfam family: Bacterial small subunit ribosomal RNA
Source: RNAcentral
GACGUAGUUUGAUCAUGGCUACGAGAACGACGCUGGCGGCAGGCUUAACACAUGCAAGUCGAACGCCCCGCAAGGGGAGUGGCAGACGGGUGAGUAACGCGUGGGAAUCUACCCAACUCUACGGAAUAACUCAGGGAAACUUGUGCUAAUACCGUAUACGCCCUUCGGGGGAAAGAUUUAUCGGAGUUGGAUGAGCCCGCGUUGGAUUAGCUAGUUGGUGGGGUAAAGGCCUACCAAGGCGACGAUCCAUAGCUGGUCUGAGAGGAUGAUCAGCCACACUGGGACUGAGACACGGCCCAGACUCCUACGGGAGGCAGCAGUGGGGAAUAUUGGACAAUGGGCGCAAGCCUGAUCCAGCCAUGCCGCGUGAGUGAUGAAGGCCCUAGGGUUGUAAAGCUCUUUCACCGGUGAAGAUAAUGACGGUAACCGGAGAAGAAGCCCCGGCUAACUUCGUG